UUCUGCUCUUAUUGAAAUCAGUGAGAGUCCUGCCAUUGACUUAAAUGGGAGCAGAAUU
RNAcentral lists this microRNA precursor (58 nucleotides) under Taeniopygia guttata (zebra finch). Its description in RNAcentral is "Tgu-Mir-1677-P4_pre stem-loop". The record is from RNAcentral. Lineage: Eukaryota; Metazoa; Chordata; Aves; Passeriformes; Estrildidae.